Molecule: unclassified non-coding RNA, 299 nt
Filed under: Nostocales cyanobacterium ATA11-5-KO18
Lineage: Bacteria; Bacillati; Cyanobacteriota; Cyanophyceae; Nostocales
Description: 16S-23S ribosomal RNA intergenic spacer
Source: RNAcentral
UUUUAGGGAGACCUACACCCCUCAAAACUCGAAAGCAAAAUGCCAAUAGAGAUUGAGUUGGUCUAACCUAGGUCGGUCGAGAUUGGUAAAAGCUUUCAAAGUAUUUCUGGUUCAUUUCAUCAUAGUUAUAACAAAAUUGAAUCGAGCAGAAAAAUUCAGCAACAUGGCUUAAUGCCAGACUGCUGGGUAUAGUCUCAGCCAGAACCUUGAAAACUGCAUAGUAACGCGAAAUUAGCAGGCAGACGCAGACAUUCAGUUGAAUGAUUGUGUUUGCAAAGGUGAAACACCAAAUGUUAAGU